UCUUACUUAAAACAUUUUCAUUGUUAAAUUGUACUCUGACUCAAAGUUUUAUCUGUGUGAGUAACUCCAACGUCUCCGUGUUUGCAGAUCUAUCUGGGGGUAGCAGCUCAGUACUGGGGAAGUUUGCAUGAGUUUGACCUCUGAAAACAGGAGGGGUUUUAUUCUUGGGGAACUACUAAGAGUUACUACGGUCUGAGUUGCCUAGGCCUGUAUAUUUGCCUGGUCUCACAUGCCUUGUUUAAUAAUUAAUCUCAUACUUGCUAUUCGUACUGAGCUUUUUUUUAUGAGAUGAAUGUUUCUGUGCAAGUGAAGUGCUAAAGCGCAAGAAACAGUUUUCCUUCGGGUUGGUCGGUUGUGCAUGGUGAUUUCGUGCUGGAAGACGUAGGGAAACAUUAUCUCGCAUUUGGGGUGUAUUCAAUUCGAUUGAUUAAAGAACUGGUUAUGGCCGGGAUGUUUGGCACAUUAAACAGGAACUUGCGACCGACUUUGAAACGGGUUCAGCUGCUGUCGGUUCUCAGAAACACACCGUGGAGUCACGAGGUGCAGAUCCGUGCCUGCGCUGCGGCUGCGGCUACUUUUCAGUUACGUGAAGGCUACCUUGUGCUGAACUAUGGAGUGACCCCGAUGUAUUUUAACUACGUGUGGCUGCGGGAUCACUGCCACUCCGCCUCCUCGUAUAACGCUGCCACUAACCAGAGAAACGUGGACACUGGCAGUAUAGACCUCAGCAUCCGUCCUGACAAAGCAGCGGUGGAAGAUGGUCACCUCGUCCUGACAUGGCCCGGUGGUCAUGUCUCAAAGCACAGUCUUAGCUGGCUAGCCAAGAACAGCUACGAAAGAACAAAAGACUGCACCAUACAGCCACGCAUCCUUUGGAACUCAGACAUCUAUAAAAAGGCAAACAUACAGUCAGCCAAAUGGGAUACAUUUAUGAGCUGUGAUGAUGAACUGAAGAAGUUUCUUCAGAACUACCUUCUGUAUGGGAUUGCUUUUGUUGACAAUGUUCCAGCUACAGUUGAGGCCACAGAGGCAGUCACCCAGAGGGUCAGUGUCAUCAGGGAGACCACAUACGGAAGAAUGUGGAGCUUCACUUCAGAUUUUUCCAGGGGAGACACUGCUUACAGCCAGUUGGCCCUGGACCGUCACACUGACACCUCAUACUUUCAGGAACCAUGUGGAAUCCAGGUUUUCCACUGCCUCAAGCAUGAAGGAACUGGGGGAAGGACACUACUCGUGGAUGGGUUUUAUGCUGCAGAAAAAUUAUGCCAGCAAUCACCUAAAAGCUUCGAGCUGCUUGCCCAUGUGCCCAUCAAGCAUGAGUACAUUGAAAACACCGACAACCACAAAAACCACAUGAUAGGCAUCGGCCCUGUGCUUAAUGUCUAUCCUUGGAACAAAGAAAUUUACCUCAUCCGAUACAACAACUAUGACCGGUCAGUGAUUAACACAGUCCCUCAUGACACUGUUCAGCGGUGGUAUGUGGCACAUCGGGAGCUGACCACUGAACUAAGGCGACCAGAGAAUGAGCUGUGGGUGAAUCUGACUCCCGGAAAAGUGAUUUUCAUAGACAACUGGCGUGUCCUGCAUGGCAGGGAGUCAUUUACUGGCUUGAGGCAGCUCUGUGGAUGCUAUCUGACCAGAGAAGACAUCCUCAGCACUGCACGCUGCUUUGGUCUGCAGGCCUGAUCAUGAAGGGCCCUUCACAUCUGUGCCUCAUCGGUUAGCCUAUAAUAUAGGCCAAAGGGAGCCACAACAAGGAAGCUGAAGAGCCGCAUGCAGCUCCGGAGCCACAGGUUGCCGACCCCUGUUUUAGGUGAAAGAAUGCGGGAGGAGUUAGUUGCCAAAAAAUGGACAGAAGACAAAGAUAUGUCUCAAUUGCACUGCAUUUUAUUGAUCACCAAAUGGCACUCCAGGAGUGUGUCAUUGAGCUGCAGCAUUAGGAUGACUCAGCACUUUGAGCUCCCAUUGACUUAUAUUAUUUAAAAAAAAAAGCUGAAUAUCUUAAAAAGUAUAAACAGUUGAAUACCUGAAUGGCCUUUAUAGCUGAAAGCAUGCUGGAGUUAUAAAGUACCAGAAAACGAAUGGAAGAUCCCAGAAUAAUAAUAAAUAAAGAACAGGAAAACAUAGUGUGGAUGCUUGUCAGCAUCCACACAAAAAUACAUAAACGAUCCACUGUUGUGCGGUUCCCUCUUUAUUUCAGGGCAGGCCACACCAUUGAUAUCUGUCAAUAUAUCAUUAAAUUCCAAGAACAUCUGAGGAAAAAUUAUAAUAAAAAAAAUGAAGCAACCUGGCAUUAUAACAGACUCUACACUGUGAAAACUGCAACUUAUUUUUCUUCUUUAGUUGACGAAUACAGGAAACUUAUUUACUUGGUGUAACUUAAAAUCAUGAGUUUA
Monopterus albus (swamp eel) is the source of this 2396-nucleotide RNA transcript. It is a transcript of the gene named trimethyllysine hydroxylase, epsilon, with no coding region annotated. The transcript has 8 exons. Lineage: Eukaryota; Metazoa; Chordata; Actinopteri; Synbranchiformes; Synbranchidae. The record is from RefSeq and is a predicted model, not a curated record.